CACGGGAGACACACGGCGGGUGCUAACGUCCGUCGUGAAGAGGGAAACAACCCAGACCGCCAGCUAAGGUCCCAAAGUCAUGGUUAAGUGGGAAACGAUGUGGGAAGGCCCAGACAGCCAGGAUGUUGGCUUAGAAGCAGCCAUCAUUUAAAGAAAGCGUAAUAGCUCACUGGUCGAGUCGGCCUGCGCGGAAGAUGUAACGGGGCUAAACCAUGCACCGAAGCUGCGGCAGCGACACUGUGUGUUGUUGGGUAGGGGAGCGUUCUGUAAGCCUGUGAAGGUGUGUCGUGAGGCAUGCUGGAGGUAUCAGAAGUGCGAAUGCUGACAUAAGUAACGAUAAAGCGGGUGAAAAGCCCGCUCGCCGGAAGACCAAGGGUUCCUGUCCAACGUUAAUCGGGGCAGGGUGAGUCGACCCCUAAGGCGAGGCCGAAAGGCGUAGUCGAUGGGAAACGGGUUAAUAUUCCCGUACUUGGUGUUACUGCGAAGGGGGGACGGAGAAGGCUAUGUUGGCCGGGCGACGGUU
RNAcentral lists this ribosomal RNA (523 nucleotides) under Salmonella enterica subsp. enterica serovar Enteritidis. RNAcentral's name for it is "partial 23S ribosomal RNA". It matches the Rfam family "Bacterial large subunit ribosomal RNA", at positions 976 to 1503 of the family's 2925-position model. The record is from RNAcentral. Lineage: Bacteria; Pseudomonadati; Pseudomonadota; Gammaproteobacteria; Enterobacterales; Enterobacteriaceae.